UAAACAGCAGAAAUGUCGCCCGCCGCAGUGGCUCCCCCCCUCUCGCGCACCAAGCGGUUCGUCAUCGCCGCCGUUUCCGCCAUCAACGACGCCGCUUGCCGCUCCGACGGCACCGUCAACCGCCGGCUCGUGUCGCUUCUCGACGCCCGGGUCGCCGCCUCCGCCAAACCCUUUCGUGGCGUCCGCACUGCCGACGUCCCCGUUGACCUCUCCCGUGAUCUGUGGUUCCGACUCUUCGUCCCCUCUUCCGUUUCUGACGGCGAACGGCUUCCCGUCAUCGUCUUCUUCCACGGAGGCGGGUUCGCCUUCCUGUCCCCCGACUCCUACCUCUUCGACGACGUGUGCCGCCGGAUCUGCCGCACGGUCCACGCUGUCGUGGUAUCCGUCAACUACCGCCUUGCGCCGGAGCACCGGUGCCCGGCGCAGUACGAGGACGGGGUUCACGUGCUCCGCUUCCUGGAGGACGGCGGCCUCUUGUACGCUGACCCCUCCGCUGCAGAUCUUGCCGACCUAUCCAGCUGCUUCCUCGUGGGCGAUUCCGCCGGCGGAAACAUCGUCCACCACGUAGCCCGGCGCUGGGCAGCGGACGCCGACGGCGGGUGGAAGAGGCUGCGACUGGCGGGAAUGGUGCUGAUCCAGCCCUACUUCGGUGGCGAGGAGCGCACAGAGGCUGAGCUGAGGCUGGUCGGUGCACCGCUGGUGUCGGUGGAGAGGACGGACUGGCUGUGGCGGGCGUUCCUUCCGGAGGGAGCGGACCGGGACCACGAGGCGUCGAACGUGUUCGGGCCGCGGGCGGUAGAGGAGCUGGAGGAGGCUCUGCCAGCGGCGAUGGUGGUGGUAGGGGGCUUCGACCCGCUGCAGGACUGGCAGCGGAGGUACUACAAGGGGUUGAGGGCGAGGGGCAAGUCGGCGCGGCUGGUGGAGUACCCGGAGGCCUUCCACUCCUUCUACGCCUUCCCUGAUCUGAAGCAAUCCACAGUGCUCAUGGAGGAGAUCAAGAGCUUCGUCGACAGCCACCGACCUCGGAAGGAGGAGGACAGAGAACGAAGUGGUGGUGGUGACAAGCACAGUAAUAUUGAAGAGUGGUAGUUGUUUAUUGAGUGUAGAUAACAGUAAUUGUGAUUGCACAGUCUUUGGUUAUUGUAUGUGCCAUAUCCCAUAAUGCUUUUUAAUAUGUACAAAAAAUAUUAGCCGGCUUUUUAUACAAAAAUAAAAUUUUAUAUAUUGGAACAAACUUAAUUGGUACCAUCUCUUUUUUUGUUUUUGAUAUAAACGAGAUGAAAGGAUUCAGAAAGAUGUGAGUCAACUGUUUGUAUCAGUCGUCGAUAAAGAUAAAAAAAAAAGGUUUUUAAUUUUUUGUUACUGAAACAAUGACAAUAAUUGUAGGACCAGAAGGUAGACAUAAUCCUCACAGACUACUGCAUGCCGGAGAUGACUGGUUAUGACCUCCUAAAGGCUGUCAUGGUAUGAAAGCUGUGCAGAACAAUCUGCAUUCUGCCUCAUCUUCCUGCUAAUCAUGUCUACAUCUUACACUUCAGGAACAGAGCUGCCAAAAACCCAUUCCUGUGAUCGUAAUGUCAUCAGAAAACGAGCCACAGAGAAUCAACAGCUUUGUAUCUUCCUUCCACACUUCUUUGGAUGCCGUUCACUGCAAAGACGAAAUCUGCUGAAUGCACCAUCAUCAUUUAAGCUGUCAACAAACCAAACAUUAGUCUUGUCUGGGCAUCCAUCCGAUAUUUCAUGCCUUGCUUCUAUUUCUUUCUUUUUCCUGGUCAAAGAAACCAAUGAUUUGUGCAUUGCUGAAUGAGAUGUGCCCAUUCUAUUGUCGGGAGAGAAGAUAUGUUUCUUCUCCAAAACUAAAUGAUCAUGCGUGUGUGUUCAAAUUAGGUGCCGAGCUAUUGGAGCCGAGGAUUUCAUCAUCAAACCCCUCCAAACUAAUGACGUUCUGAGACUGAGAAGCUACGCUUGAACAGGACUGCCGCCGCCGCCGCCAUCGUUGUCUUCCAAGUCGGGCACCAAGCGGAAAAUGACAAGCGAGUUGCGGCACCCUUGCGUGUUCACCGGAAGCUCGCCUACUCUUUGCUCACACUUCUGAAGCACUUAGUGUUUGCACUCCUUGUGUCGAGUAAGUUACUGUGAUUCACCUUCUCAAUGCCAUCGAACUUCUGGAAUGCAGGAAGUUUUCAUCCCGAUUUGGAGUAAUUCUCUCAUAGGUUUGGUCGCCUCUGGGAUUGUACCAUCUUCUCCAUCAACCCUGCCACCUACUCUACUGAGUAACAAAGGUACAACACCGUGUACUGUCUGCUUCGUUCCUUGGUCAUGCACUCUUGUCUGACCCAAAGUCCUUCACUUUCGACUAUCUUGAUGAGAAGUUCGUUGACACCGGUCUUACGAAGUUCCUUGGCCUUUGCCCUUCAGCCUUAUCUCGGUACUUGGAGUUUGCCUCUGAAUGCUCCACCUCCUCGGUCGUUUCACGACCAAGCGCUCUCCCUCCAUGAGAGCAAGGGAUCAAUGACUUUCACGGAAGUCCUGCCUCUACGGUACCAUGGUGCUGCCAUGCCCAUGGCCCUACUAUCCGUCGCCUCACAUCUGCAUCAUUUUUCUUCACGAUCAGUAGAUAUGUCUCUGUGGCACUCCUCUGAGUCCACCUCCAUUCUAACUGAUGCUUGAUUUUGGAUUGCUAAGUCCCUCUAGACUUGUCGUCGCUUUCUCGCCCCUUUUGACCCCCUGCUUCAACACCUCGGUGUUCUCCAAGCAGAUUCCUUUGGUCGAUGGAAAGACAGACUACAACUCCCAUGCAUGGCCUCUGCCAUCACGUUAUAGGGUUUGCACUGAUUCUGUUCUCCUUAGCUUCCUUGGUAGCAACGUUCGCUUACUCGACCUUGUCCUCUGACUUGUCGGGCUCCCUUAAGCGAAUAUGGGCUCUAGAGCAGUCUAACUCUCCAGCUACUUCGAUCAUACCUCUGCAUGAUCAAGUCCCUCCCAUGGGACUCACUGGUACUUGCAUUCGAACUUUUACCAUUGGUGGAAUACAGCCCCCAUAUGCUGAUGACCAAGGCUUCAUCCGAUGCAAAAUUCGAUGCACGCACGGAAGACCCUUAAAUUGUAAUUACUAUGUAAUGCCUACCACGCGUUCUCGAGUGAGUUUGUUUGCUUGUGGUGUUAGUGGUGAUAAGUUGUAUUAUAGUGAUGAAAAGUACUAAUGAAUGGUUGAGUACAAUGAUUUAUUUAUACAGUUGAGGAUUUUUCUCAACUAUCCUAUGAGAUUUCCUCAUGCAGUUGAAGAAAUCUUUAUCUGUUAUCAUGCCCCCUGUAUGAUUGAGCUCCUGUCAAGGAUGCCAAUCUUAGAACGAUGUAACAAAAAUAAUUUACGAGCGAGAGGCUUCAUGAGUAAGUCUGCUAGUUGAUCAGUCGUAUGGACGUGAGAAACACGUAGUUAAUGUCUAACAACUUGAUCUCGCACGAAAUAAAAAUCGAUUAUAAUAUAUUUCAUGCGUGAAUGGAAAACCGGAUUGACACAUAGAUAUGUAGUUCUAAUAUUAUCAAAAUAUAUUGUAGGAGGAAAUGUAGAGUUGACGUUGAGUUUCUUGAUAGGCGGAGAGGAGUGGCGUCGUUGCUCGUUGGAGUUGGUGCGACAGUGGUAGAGCUCGAGAACUUUGGAGGUCGUCUGAGCUAUGGCUUAAAAGACUAGUUGUUGGUGGCGCUGCACCUGAGCGGUGGAUUUGACAGUAGCUUUGGAGCUGGUGCGACAGUGGUAGAGCUCGAGGACUUUGAAGGUCAUCUGAUGGCUUCGUUGUCUAAGCUAUGGCUUAAAAGGCUAGUUGUUUGUGGCGUUGCACUUGAGCGGUGGAUUUUACAGCAGCGGUCAGUGAAAAAAGAAGGAUAAACCUUGUUCUAAGGCAAUAUGACUCUGAUACCAUGAUAAGUUGUAUUGUAAUGAUGAAAAGUAGUUAUGAAUAGUUGAGUACAAUGGCUUAUUUAUACAUGUGGGAAGGAAGGAUUUUCCUUAACUAUCCUACGAGAUUUCCUGAAAAAAAUCUUUAUCUGUUAUCAAGUAGAUGGAUCAUCUGCUAUUCAACUGUUCUUGCUUUGCUCUUCAAAUGCUGUUCAAAUUAAGCUUCUUGAAAGCUCGACAUAUGCUGUUCUAAUCAAUCAAACCGAGGCCAUAGUAGCCUCCCAAGAUACAAAGUCCUCGUUUUGACGACGAGGAUUAAGGAGUGGCUGUCCGUUGAUGUGAGUCCUACUCGUCAAACUUGUUCUGCUCGUGUGAAUCUAUUCUAAAUCGUCCAACAUUCUGCCUGCCUGUGUCGGGGUUGACGGUAUGAUGUUUGCCGCUUCUAACAAAGUGAGCUAACCCCAUGAAUUGUUUCCUAGGGAGCUAAAAGAUAUAACAAAUAUUUAUCAUUGACUUAGUAUAAUCUAUAUGCAUGUUAUUCGUUUAUUAACUACUUGAUAUAUUCAAUCACACGUAUUUAUGGUCAGAUUUAUGGAACCAAAACACGAGAGAGAAUGGUGGAGCGAUGGUUUGGCAAAGUCAAGAAGUUGGCCUUUCUAGGAACAACCGUUGAGGAGAAAACGUUUGAACACACAACUUCUUUUUUUUUCCUUCACAUAAAAUUGGUGUUGCGUUUUUCGUGUGCAUUGCAGUGAUCUCACGUUUUUAUUUGCUGGUCGUUUGGUCAAACUGGCGAGGAGGGUUCUGUUCUGAAUCUUAUGAUGGCGUCAUACGGAAUCGUCGGCCCCAACCGAACUUUGACGUCCAACUUCCUCAUGCAUGCAUGCACGAAGCCUCAAUACACGAGUAGUUUACCGACUUGGGUGGCUACUUGCCAUGCAGUAUCGUAUACUUGUACGAAUUGGUAUACAUGGUCAUGCGUGUUUCCUCUCUUGUGCUGCAUCCAUACGGCACUGCAAGACUUCAAGCACACGUGACGGAUUGGCAUGACACGUUUGGUCCACGGCGUGUUACUCGAUUUCGUACUCGGGUAUCGUGUGAAACGUCCAGGACAGAGCGGAAGGGUUCGCAUAAGUCACGGGGGCCCCACUUGUGAGAGAGAGAGGAUGUGACAGAGUUGGGGACGGAAUUUAUUGUAGUUCUGUUACCAUUUUGACUAAAUAAGCGUCGGAUUUCGCAUAUUGGUCUACCACGUGACGUCACCUCAUUCGUGCUCUCUCGCAGUCCAUAUAUCCGUGCUCGAUUCCUCUCGUCUCCUCCAACUCGCUCUCUCGCGGCUCCCGAGGCCUUCACCCGAGACGAGCUCUUCUAAACGGCAGAAAUGUCGCCCUCCGCAGUGGCUCCCCCCCUCUCGCGCACCAAGCGAUUCGUCAUCGCCGCCGUUUCCGCCAUUAACGACGCCGCUUGCCGCUCCGACGGCACCGUCAACCGCCGCCUUGUGUCGCUCCUCGACGCCCGUGUCGCCGCCUCCGCCAAACCCUUUCGUGGCGUCCGCACUGCCGACGUCCCCGUUGACCUCUCCCGUGAUCUGUGGNNNNN
This 5494-nucleotide long non-coding RNA is filed under the name Musa acuminata (dwarf banana). Its description in RNAcentral is "long non-coding RNA (MACU_LNC003563)". The record is from RNAcentral. Lineage: Eukaryota; Viridiplantae; Streptophyta; Magnoliopsida; Zingiberales; Musaceae.